Molecule: long non-coding RNA, 1015 nt
Organism: Mirounga angustirostris (Northern elephant seal)
Lineage: Eukaryota; Metazoa; Chordata; Mammalia; Carnivora; Phocidae
Exons: 2
Source: RefSeq, a predicted model, not a curated record
CGAGGAACCACCUCGAGCCGUGCACCUUGAGCCCCUCCCUGCUCUGGGCUGUGUCUGCAGACGCUCCCGCACCCCGGCCGGGUCAGUGCAAGACCGUAGCCGACACAGUCUCUGUUCAGACAAGCCCGGCUCACCCGCCGUGACGAUGGGCAGGGGACUGCACUGAUGUCCCCCCGGGAAGACCCGCAGACAGCCAACGACCCCACGAGACGUCGGCAGGGAAGGGCAGUCCAAGCCCGCGGCGAGAAGCCCUCUCACACCCGCCGGGCCGGCUGUUAAAACCAGAAAAUAACAAGUGUUGGCGAAGAUGUGGCGAAAUCGGAACCUCGGGCGCGAGCCUCGGCCACAGCGGCUGUGGAAAGUGGUCUGCAGGUCCUCCCCCAGCGACACCCACAAACCCAGCACCCCACGCCAGGCAGGAGCGCGAAGAAACCCAACAAGGACUCGCACACUCACGGCGCCCCUGCGCAUGGGGGCUGCAGACGGACAAGCCCGCCCACAGACAGGAACCGGACCCCUGACGCGGGCUGCAGCGUGGAAGCAGCAAGAAGACGCGAGAAGCCGGCCCAAGGCGCCCGGCGCGGCGAUGCCUUCCCACGAGGCGUCCGGAACACACCGCGCAGGGAGGGCUUCUCAGGUGCGGGAGGGGAUGCAGACUGGCCCCUUCACGGAGGCCGGCCUCCUCGGGGGUGGGGAGGGGUUAGAAAGUUCCGGAAUGAGAGAGGUGGUCACAGGCCAACGCCGCAUGAGCUGAACGCCACUGAGUUGUUCACUUUAAAGGGGCUGGUUUUGGGUCAGGUGACUUUCCCGUCAACAAAAACACAACAAAGAUACGUGGGUCCCAGGGUCAGCCGCACCCCAUCUCCCCAGUGACCCCACACCCUGGGCAGGGCGAGGGCUGAGUUCCUGCUCCCCUGGGUCCCCGAAUGAGGUGGAGAGCAUAGCCACUGGCGUGACCCCAACUUCUCCUCUCCCAGCACCCCUCCCGUGAAAGAAUAAACGUGUGUUGUUUUAA